UCCGGCUUGUCACCGGCAGUUUCCCUAGAGUGCCCAGCCUGACCUGAUGGCAACUAAGGAUGAGGGUUGCGCUCGUUGCGGGACUUAACCCAACAUCUCACGACACGAGCUGACGACAGCCAUGCAGCACCUGUGUGGAAGCCGGCCGAACCGAAGGACGUGGUCUCCCACAUCCAUACUUCCCAAGUCAAGAGCUGGUAAGGUUCUUCGCGUUGCGUCGAAUUAAACCACAUACUCCACCGCUUGUGCGGGCCCCCGUCAAUUCAUUUGAGUUUCAACCUUGCGGCCGUACUCCCCAGGCGGCAUGCUUAGUGCGUUAGCUGCGACACCCAGGGGCUAAGCCCCCAAACGUCUAGCAUGCAUCGUUUACGGCGUGGACUAC
This 382-nucleotide unclassified non-coding RNA is filed under the name uncultured Rhodospirillales bacterium. RNAcentral describes it as "contains 16S-23S intergenic spacer region". Lineage: Bacteria; Pseudomonadati; Pseudomonadota; Alphaproteobacteria; Rhodospirillales. The record is from RNAcentral.